GGAUGUAGUCCAGUGGUACAGUUUUUGCCUGGAAUGCAAAAGGCCCUGGAUUCAAUCCCCAGCACCA
Molecule: transfer RNA, 67 nt
Filed under: Marmota monax (woodchuck)
Lineage: Eukaryota; Metazoa; Chordata; Mammalia; Rodentia; Sciuridae
Description: tRNA.Ser
Source: RNAcentral